GAGUGGAGCACUCAUACAGGACAUCCUUGGUGUCUCAAGUCUAAGGACCAAAUACACCACUAGGACUACGGAAUCGCUGUCUGACAAUAAGGCAUCAUCAACCAUCCAGCAUUCCGUAAGCGGAUCAAUCAAUGAACUCAUUCUCCAAUGAGCACCUGUAUUGUAUCCCUAGUGUCCCUACACGAGCAACUAUGAGACCAGCUGCAUCCAUCAUAUAGACGGGUAUACAACACACUAGUCUGUCCGGUUAUCACGAUGUCCC
Molecule: long non-coding RNA, 262 nt
Filed under: Musa acuminata (dwarf banana)
Lineage: Eukaryota; Viridiplantae; Streptophyta; Magnoliopsida; Zingiberales; Musaceae
Description: long non-coding RNA (MACU_LNC007305)
Source: RNAcentral